UACGUAGGGAGCAAGCGUUAUCCGGAUUUACUGGGUGUAAAGGGCGCGUAGGCGGGAUGGCAAGUCAGAUGUGAAAUCCAGGGGCUCAACCCCUGAACUGCAUUUGAAACUGUCGUUCUUGAGUACUGGAGAGGUUGACGGAAUUCCUAGUGUAGCGGUGAAAUGCGUAGAUAUUAGGAGGAACGCCGGUGGCGAAGGCGGCCUGCUGGACUGCAACUGACGUUGAGGCCCGAAAGCGUGGGGAGCAAACAGG
This 253-nucleotide ribosomal RNA is filed under the name uncultured bacterium. RNAcentral describes it as "partial 16S ribosomal RNA". It matches the Rfam family "Bacterial small subunit ribosomal RNA", at positions 524 to 776 of the family's 1533-position model. The record is from RNAcentral.